AUGCUCAUUUUGACAGUACAAAUACUGUAAUUGGAAUGAUACAGAGAUUGGCAUGGCCCCAGUGCAAAGAUGACCUGCAAAUUUGCGAAGUGUUCCAUAUUUAA
Ursus americanus (American black bear) is the source of this 104-nucleotide small nuclear RNA. NCBI's taxonomy places the organism in Eukaryota, Metazoa, Chordata, Mammalia, Carnivora, Ursidae. The record is from Ensembl.